AACGUAGGAUGCGAGCGUUAUCCGGAUUUACUGGGCGUAAAGCGCGUGUAGGCGGUUCGGUAAGUUGGAUGUGAAAGCUCCUGGCUUAACUGGGAGAGGUCGUUCAAUACUGCCGAGCUAGAGGAUGGUAGAGGGAGGUGGAAUUCCGAGUGUAGUGGUGAAAUGCGUAGAUAUUCGGAGGAACACCAGUGGCGAAAGCGGCCUCCUGGACCAUUUCUGACGCUCAGACGCGAAAGCUAGGGUAGCAAACGGG
RNAcentral lists this ribosomal RNA (253 nucleotides) under uncultured prokaryote. RNAcentral describes it as "partial 16S ribosomal RNA". It matches the Rfam family "Bacterial small subunit ribosomal RNA", at positions 524 to 776 of the family's 1533-position model. The record is from RNAcentral.